RNAcentral lists this transfer RNA (76 nucleotides) under Caldimonas aquatica. Its description in RNAcentral is "Schlegelella aquatica tRNA-Phe". It matches the Rfam family "tRNA". From Rfam's summary of the family: Transfer RNA (tRNA) molecules are approximately 80 nucleotides in length. RNAcentral also lists the same sequence under 3 other names. The record is from RNAcentral. Lineage: Bacteria; Pseudomonadati; Pseudomonadota; Betaproteobacteria; Burkholderiales; Sphaerotilaceae.
GGCCUGGUAGCUCAGUUGGUAGAGCAGAGGACUGAAAAUCCUUGUGUCGGUGGUUCGAUUCCGCCCUAGGCCACCA